RNAcentral lists this ribosomal RNA (374 nucleotides) under uncultured eukaryote. Its description in RNAcentral is "partial 18S ribosomal RNA". It matches the Rfam family "Eukaryotic small subunit ribosomal RNA", at positions 592 to 976 of the family's 1831-position model. The record is from RNAcentral.
CAAUAGCGUAUAUUUAAGUUGUUGCAGUUAAAAAGCUCGUAGUUGGAUUUCUGCUGAUCGCUGUCGGUCUGCCGUCAGGUGUGUACUGGCAGUGUUUGGCAUCUAUUCGAGAUUGGGUGUCCACUUGAUUGUGUGCACUCGAUGUCGGAGCUAAUACUUUGAGAAAAUUAGAGUGUUCCACGCAGGCGCGUGCCUUGAAUACUGCAGCAUGGGAUAUUGGAAGGCCGAUUGAGCUUUCUUGUUGGUUCUCGGUUUGAUCGGAAUGAUUAAUAGGGAUAGUUGGGGGCAUUCGUAUUCAACUGUCAGAGGUGAAAUUCUUGGAUUUGUCGAAGACGGACUACUGCGAAAGCAUCUGCCAUGGAUGUUCUCAUUGA